AACGAACGCUGGCGGCAGGCUUAACACAUGCAAGUCGAACGCCCCGCAAGGGGAGUGGCAGACGGGUGAGUAACGCGUGGGAAUCUACCCCAUCUCUACGGAAUAACUCAGGGAAACUUGUGCUAAUACCGUAUACGCCCUUUGGGGGAAAGAUUUAUCGGAGAUGGAUGAGCCCGCGUUGGAUUAGCUAGUUGGUGGGGUAAAGGCCUGCCAAGGCGACGAUCCAUAGCUGGUCUGAGAGGAUGAUCAGCCACACUGGGACUGAGACACGGCCCAGACUCCUACGGGAGGCAGCAGUGGGGAAUAUUGGACAAUGGGCGCAAGCCUGAUCCAGCCAUGCCGCGUGAGUGAUGAAGGCCCUAGGGUUGUAAAGCUCUUUCACCGGUGAAGAUAAUGACGGUAACCGGAGAAGAAGCCCCGGCUAACUUCGUG
Molecule: ribosomal RNA, 432 nt
Filed under: uncultured bacterium
Lineage: Bacteria
Description: bacterial SSU rRNA
Rfam family: Bacterial small subunit ribosomal RNA
Source: RNAcentral